UCCCCUCGGCUCGGCCGCCCUCCUUUCACAGCCGCCGGCAUGAGCUCCAGGCCGCCCGCGUCGCUGCCAGCGCGAGGCCCGCGGUUGUUGCUGCUGUCGCUGCUCUUGCUAGGGACGGUCCCAGGCCCGCGCCCGGGCAGCGCCUUCUACCUGCCUGGCCUGGCUCCGGUCAAUUUCUGCACCGAAGAGAAGAAGAGCAACGAGUGCAAGGUGGGGGAGACCUGUCGAGCUGCCCGGGACCGGAGCGGGGUCUGGAAGCGGGAGGGGGCGUAGCUGUAGGUGGGGUGGGAUUCCCGAGCCGUGCCGGGCGGGGGUCCUGCCGGCACUGGGCUCUCUGAGCACUCUGGCUGUCCCUGCGGGCUCGCACUUACAGCUCGAUGUGCCUUGCCCGGACCCCGGAAGCUUUCGGAGCGCCCUUGGACUGGCCUGCAAGCAGGUACGGUGUGACCUGCUGCCCACACGGGGCGCUCCCAGCCGAACGACAACUUCAAGUAACUUAAUUUUAUAGCUCCCUGUUUCAUUGCACUUUACUGGAACUCCUGGUUACGACGGCUUAUUCUCUCUAGGACUUUGAAAUAGAACUUCAAGAUUACUAGUUGAUUACUUAACCUGUGGGUUAUGACACAUUCUAACCCUCAUUAAAAACUGCAUAAGUAAAGACCAGUUGACAAUACUCUU
Molecule: long non-coding RNA, 678 nt
Filed under: Rattus norvegicus (Norway rat)
Lineage: Eukaryota; Metazoa; Chordata; Mammalia; Rodentia; Muridae
Description: long non-coding RNA NONRATT010702
Source: RNAcentral